This 352-nucleotide ribosomal RNA is filed under the name uncultured bacterium. Its description in RNAcentral is "bacterial SSU rRNA". It matches the Rfam family "Bacterial small subunit ribosomal RNA", at positions 30 to 378 of the family's 1533-position model. The record is from RNAcentral.
AUUGAACGCUGGCGGCAUGCUUUACACAUGCAAGUCGAACGGCAGCACGAGUGCUUGCACUUGGUGGCGAGUGGCGGACGGGUGAGUAAUACAUCGGAACGUAUCCUUAAGUGGGGGAUAACGCAUCGAAAGAUGUGCUAAUACCGCAUAUUCUCUGUGGAGGAAAGUAGGGGAUCGAAAGACCUUAUGCUUAUGGAGCGGCCGAUGCCUGAUUAGCUUGUUGGUGGGGUAAUGGCCUACCAAGGCGACGAUCAGUAGUUGGUCUGAGAGGACGACCAGCCACACUGGGACUGAGACACGGCCCAGACUCCUACGGGAGGCAGCAGUGGGGAAUUUUGGUACGAAUAGGCGG